Molecule: long non-coding RNA, 1889 nt
Organism: Mustela putorius furo (domestic ferret)
Lineage: Eukaryota; Metazoa; Chordata; Mammalia; Carnivora; Mustelidae
Source: Ensembl
GAGGAGGGGCGAAGUGCGGGCCCGGCCCGCCUCUCCUCCGCAGGGACUCGCCAGCUCUGCGGGGCCCCGCCAGAGGCAGCGCCUGUUUACCUCACAGUUCCUCCAGCCUACAGGGCGCCGCCAUCUUGGACGUACAGCACCUCCCCCCGUCGUGAAAGGUCCACGGCCGCUGCAGCCUCCGCCACGAAAAAGAGUUCCCACUUGGGUCUGGCCUGCCUCUCGACCCCGGCGACAGAUGACCGCAGCCGGCAGCCCCGUUGGACGGAAGAGGCCUUCCUGGUCAUUAGUGAUAAUGCGGAAUAUUUGCGGGAGCCCGCCUUGCUAACACUGCAACGUGGUCACCGCGGCCGUGGGAAACAACUACCCCGAUCAGAGCAGACAGCUUUAAAAUAAACAGCCUUAGCUCCGCUCCUUCUCCUUAGCUCUGUGAACCUAACACGUCUGGAAGCCUCCGCCUCAGUUUCUUCUUCUGUGAAAUGGGCCGAUAGCCUUCCUGAAGUGAGGAUUCAAGUCCCACGCACAGGAAAUGCUCAACAGGCGGCACCCUGGAGCCUCCUUGUGGCAGGAGCUCCCCCGCUGGGCUUUCUCCACCAGUCCUGGUUCGCCUGUCUCCAUGUGACAAGAAACAAAGGAGCUGAGCCCGUGUUUGCAGGGGGUGCUGCCUCUAUGCAUGUGACAGAUGUCCACUACACUUGCCUGGGCAGCGUCUCCCCCUCCCCUUCCUGGGGCCACCACAGCACCACCCUCAAGCCACAGGCACCUGGGCCCAGUCUAGCCAAUCCCAGAUCCCCAUCCUCUAGCCAAAGUGGUUGACUGUUGGACACGUGACUUGAGCUGGACCAAUCAGGGUGCUUCCCUGGGUCUCUAUAUGGAUGCGAAAAGAGAGAUUGUGUCUUUCCUGUGGGGUUGCUAAACCAGGGUGAGGAAGCUGUGACCUUCCACUUCCCCGUGUCCUACAUCAAGCCCUGAGAGAAGCCCAGCCAACAGAUGGAGAAGACCUACAUGGCAACAGCAAUAGAGAUGGAAAAAGAAAUCUGAUUUGUUAUCUCCUGAGUUUUCAGAGUCCCCAGAGGCUGGAUUUGCACUGGCCUCCCAAGUGCCAUGAGGCAACAACUAUUUUGGCCGAUGCUGGUUUUGGGUAUAGGUUUCUCUCUUCUGCAAACAGAAGGCCUCCCAGGUGCAAUGAGAUCUGAAGGCCUUUGGAAGGACACCACCAGUACAAAAUACUUCUCCCUCAUCCGCUGGCGUGGUCCUCUUGCGGGCUUUCAGCCCCUCGCUGUCUAGCCCUGUGUCCGAAAGAUGAAGACAAUAAAUGUCUACACUACACUAUAUGACUCCAUAGCUAUGUAUGUAUGUACUUUCAACUUAUGUAAAUGGUUUAUGUCUCAGAUGGCAAUCUGUCUCUUACUUUUCCCCCCCACUCACCAUUGUUUUGAAUCUCAUUGCUUUGUGUUCAUGUAGCCAGUAGCUUUAAACUGCUGACAAUUAUUCAGUGACGCAAAUCUAACCUGAUCUACUCUCCACUCUGCCAGGGAAUAACAGCCACAGUCCCACCAGAAACAACGCCGUGAGAAACAUCACUGUCCUUGUUCCCUUAUGGAUAGGGCUGAGAAUUUGGGGGAGAUGCAUAUUCUAGGAGUAGAACUGGUGGGCUGACUUUUUGUUGUUGUUGUUGUUUUUAGAGAAAUUGUUUUAGCUUUAUUGUGAUAUAAUUGGUAUACAAGGAAUUGCACACAUGUAAUUGAAUGUAUCCGGAUGCUUGUGGACAUAUGCAUACAGCCGUGAUACCAUUGCUCCAACCAAGGUACUAAACAUAUCCAUCACCUCCAAAAAUUUUGCACUGACUUACCACCAAAUUGUGCCCCAGAAAGACUGCCCCAGUCUACACC